RNAcentral lists this ribosomal RNA (497 nucleotides) under uncultured bacterium. RNAcentral's name for it is "partial 16S ribosomal RNA". It matches the Rfam family "Bacterial small subunit ribosomal RNA", at positions 28 to 507 of the family's 1533-position model. The record is from RNAcentral.
GAUGAACGCUGGCGGCGUGCCUAAUACAUGCGAGUCGAGCGAACAGAUAAGGAGCUUGCUCCUUUGACGUUAGCGGCGGACGGGUGAGUUACACGUGGAUAACCUGCCUAUAAGACUGGGAUAACUUCGGGAAACCGGAGCUAAUACCGGAUAACAUAUUGAACCGCAUGGUUCAAUAGUGAAAGGCGGCUUUGCUGUCACUUAUAGAUGGAUCCGCGCCGUAUUAGCUAGUUGGUAAGGUAACGGCUUACCAAGGCAACGAUACGUAGCCGACCUGAGAGGGUGAUCGGCCACACUGGAACUGAGACACGGUCCAGACUCCUACGGGAGGCAGCAGUAGGGAAUCUUCCGCAAUGGGCGAAAGCCUGACGGAGCAACGCCGCGUGAGUGAUGAAGGUCUUCGGAUCGUAAAACUCUGUUAUCAGGGAAGAACAAAUGUGUAAGUAACUGUGCACAUCUUGACGGUACCUGAUCAGAAAGCCACGGCUAACUACGUG